GGGCUGCAGGUGCUGAAGAGCACUAUGUGAGAUAUAGGCUAGAGAAGCAAAGUCUGCUGGCUAGGUCAGAAGGAAGGCUGCAGAAAGAUUAUGACUGCAGGCCAGGAGACAUAGGACCAAACGAUACAGCAGGCCUAAGGUGAACACUUGUCUGGAGAGAAAGCCAUCAACAAAAGCAAGGUGUACAAAAGCUGUGAGUGCCUGGACGAAGGAAAUAGCAACCAUGAGCAUGUAGCUACUGAGGCAAACACACAGCAGAGAGAGAUACUGGUGUCUCCACUGCUGGACAACCUUCAACAGGAUCUUCUACCUUCUGCCACACCAGAAUAAUUGCAACUCUGCAAGUCAAUAGCAAACUUAUUAUGCAGCUGCCUGUCUGGAAGUGCUAACUACAAUAUCGUAGAUGAAGAGGAAAGCUAUUGAGGCCACAGUAGCACGCCCAGAAGUACCACCUGUAAAGAGAAAAAAAACCCGCCAAGAGCUUAUUUUCAUUGACUGAGAUUUCUGUGUCAGUUCUAGAGAUAACAAAUAGGACUCCACAACAUUUUACAGGAAGAAAAACACUGAGUUGAAGGGCCUUUAGAGAUGGAUUUUGUGGGAAAGUCUAUAAUUCACUGCGCCUUUUUUCUUCCUGUUAUUGUCCUUGCUUUGAACACCAAAACGAAUACACAUUGGCAUUUAUGACAGAUAUUGGGUAACAGCAAUGGCGUAAUGUGACAUGAUGUCUGUUGUAAUGAGAGCCUGAACACAGGGAGGUAGAAGUCCUUUGCAACCAAGUGUUUCUAUAGAUAUGCAUGCACUCAAGCCAGGGUUUUUUCCUUAUCUGGUAAAAGGCUGACUUUUAUGUUCAAUUCAAAGGAUGAAAUCUAAGAGGUGGAAAAUGAAGAAGCACGUUUUUAAUGUUUUUUUUUCUUACCUACUGCAUAUUUAUGUCGAAAGAAAUGUCUGAGUAUACCACAGCAAAUCCUAUACACAUUCCUGUAAAAGAAAG
Molecule: long non-coding RNA, 991 nt
Organism: Passer domesticus (house sparrow)
Lineage: Eukaryota; Metazoa; Chordata; Aves; Passeriformes; Passeridae
Exons: 3
Source: RefSeq, a predicted model, not a curated record